GAUGAACGCUGGCGGCGUGCCUAAUACAUGCAAGUCGAGCGAACGGACGAGAAGCUUUCUUCUCUGAUGUUAGCGGCGGACGGGUGAGUAACACUUGGAUAACCUACCUAUAAGACUGGGAUAACUUCGGGAAACCGUAGCUAAUACCGGAUAAUAUUUUGAACCGCAUGGUUCAAAAGUGAAAGACGGUCUUGCUGUCACUUAUAGCUGGAUCCGCGCUGCAUUAGCUAGUUGGUAAGGUAACGGCUUACCAAGGCAACGAUGCAUAGCCGGCCUGAGAGGGUGAUCGGCCACACUGGAACUGAGACACGGUCCAGACUCCUACGGGAGGCAGCAGUAGGGAAUCUUCCGCAAUGGGCGAAAGCCUGACGGAGCAACGCCGCGUGAGUGAUGAAGGUCUUCGGAUCGUAAAACUCUGUUAUUAGGGAAGAACAUAUGUGUAAGUAACUGUGCACAUCUUGACGGUACCUAAUCAGAAAGCCACGGCUAACUACGUG
RNAcentral lists this ribosomal RNA (497 nucleotides) under uncultured bacterium. RNAcentral describes it as "partial 16S ribosomal RNA". It matches the Rfam family "Bacterial small subunit ribosomal RNA", at positions 28 to 507 of the family's 1533-position model. The record is from RNAcentral.